Molecule: ribosomal RNA, 254 nt
Filed under: uncultured bacterium
Lineage: Bacteria
Description: partial 16S ribosomal RNA
Rfam family: Bacterial small subunit ribosomal RNA
Source: RNAcentral
UACGGGGGGAGCAAGCGUUGUUCGGAUUUACUGGGCGUAAAGGGCGCGUAGGCGGCCACCGCAAGUCGACUGUGAAAUCUCCGGGCUUAACUCGGAAAGGUCAGCCGAUACUGCGGGGCUAGAGUGCAGAAGGGGCAACUGGAAUUCUCGGUGUAGCGGUGAAAUGCGUAGAUAUCGAGAGGAACACCUGCGGCGAAGGCGGGUCUCUGGGCCGAUACUGACGCUGAGGAGCGAAAGCGUGGGGAGCGAACAGG